Long non-coding RNA from Xiphophorus hellerii (green swordtail), 831 nucleotides. RefSeq lists it as uncharacterized. NCBI's taxonomy places the organism in Eukaryota, Metazoa, Chordata, Actinopteri, Cyprinodontiformes, Poeciliidae. The transcript has 5 exons. The record is from RefSeq and is a predicted model, not a curated record.
UCAGCACCACCAGUCAGAUGGAGGAAGAUAAGAGAACCCUGUUGACAAAAAAAGUAAGAAAACUUAUUUUCAUUUUAAAUAUGGAUGAAAUUGAGGUCAAGUUGUUCUUCCUUCUGUCCAAAUAUAUUCUGUUUGUUAACCCCAUUGUCUUCUCUCUUUAUUUCAUUUCUCCGUCAACUCAUGUCACAUGACAUGAGUUGACCAACAAUUAAAGAAGAAGACCAGCUCCACCUGCUGAUCUACUGGUCAUAACAGAUUGUGGAAAAGCAUCACUCAGACAAGACAACAACAGUGGGCCAAUCAGGAGAGAGAAGACACAGAGGACUGAGGACUAAAACAAAUAAACAAAGGCUGCCAAAAAAAAGCAGGCUAUCCAGUGGCCCCAGGUUUACACACCAUCUCUCAUCUUUUGAGACAGAUUCCGAUGGAGAAGUGGGAUAAAGAGCAACAGUGGAAACGGGUCAACCAAUGACAGUCAGACUCACUGUCCCCCAUCCGCCUCACCCCUCCUCCCACCUGACAGACGCCAAACACUCUCUCAUCGCUAUAAAACCUCCUCACCUCCAUCACUGUCAGGGACAUGAAGAUCCUGAAGUGUCUGUGUUCAUCUGACUGGCUGAGGUGGAUGCAGACACUCUGAGGGUACUCAGAGCAGGUGGAGUGUGUCGUUUUCCAGAAGAGUGAUGUGUGUGUGGGCAGGAUCUACAGUGACUUUACUCCUCAGGUCACACUGAGAGGCGCCUUAUGUGGUUCCGUGUUUCUGGGAGUUUGCUCACCACACCGACCAGAUCAGGCCGUCGUACCGCGGGCGCACACUGUGAGAAGAACUGC